RNAcentral lists this ribosomal RNA (254 nucleotides) under uncultured bacterium. Its description in RNAcentral is "partial 16S ribosomal RNA". It matches the Rfam family "Bacterial small subunit ribosomal RNA", at positions 524 to 777 of the family's 1533-position model. The record is from RNAcentral.
UACGGGGGGGGCAAGCGUUGUUCGGAAUUACUGGGCGUAAAGGGCUCGUAGGCGGCCAACUAAGUCGGAUGUGAAAUCCCCAGGCUCAACCUGGGAACUGCAUCCGAUACUGGAUGGCUUGAAUUCGGGAGAGGGAUGCAGAAUUCCAGGUGUAGCGGUGAAAUGCGUAGAUAUCUGGAGGAAUACCGGUGGCGAAGGCGGCAUCCUGGACCGACAUUGACGCUGAGGAGCGAAAGCCAGGGGAGCAAAGCGGG